AGAGUUUGAUCCUGGCUCAGGAUGAACGCUAGCGGCAGGCCUAAUACAUGCAAGUCGGACGGGAUUUGGGAGCUUGCUCCUAAUAAGAGUGGCGCACGGGUGCGUAACACGUAUGUAACCUACCUUUAUCAGGGGGAUAGCCUCUCGAAAGAGAGAUUAAGCCCGCAUAACAUGGAGAUGCAGCAUUGCAAUUCCAUCAAAUAUUUAUAGGAUAAAGAUGGGCAUGCGGAACAUUAGCUAGUUGGUAAGGUAACGGCUUACCAAGGCUACGAUGUUUAGGGGAUCUGAGAGGAUGACCCCCCACACUGGUACUGAGACACGGACCAGACUCCUACGGGAGGCAGCAGUAAGGAAUAUUGGUCAAUGGGCGGAAGCCUGAACCAGCCAUGCCGCGUGCAGGAAGACGGCCCUACGGGUUGUAAACUGCUUUUGUACCGGAA
RNAcentral lists this ribosomal RNA (440 nucleotides) under uncultured bacterium. Its description in RNAcentral is "bacterial SSU rRNA". It matches the Rfam family "Bacterial small subunit ribosomal RNA", at positions 8 to 446 of the family's 1533-position model. The record is from RNAcentral.